CCUACGGGUGGCAGCAGUGGGGAAUAUUGGGCAAUGGAGGCAACUCUGACCCAGCAACGCCGCGUGAAUGAUGAAGGUCUUCGGAAUGUAAAGUUCUGUGAUGGGGGAUGAACACAAUGACGGUACUCCAAUAGCAAGCCACGGCUAACUACGUGCCAGCAGCCGCGGUAAUACGUAGGUGGCAAGCGUUUUCCGGAAUGACUGGGCGUAAAGGGUGCGUAGGUGGUUUAGUAAGUUGGCGGGGUAAUUCCGGGGCUCAACCCAGGCGCGGCCGCGGAAACUAGUAGACUAGAGUGCGGGAGAGGUAAGUGGAAUGCCCAGUGUAGCGGUGGAAUGCGUAGAUAUUAGGAAGAACAUCGAGGGCGAAGGCGACAUGCUGGACUGUAACUGACGCUGAGGCACGAAAGCGUGGGGAGCGAACAGGAUUAGAUACCCCAGUAGUC
This 443-nucleotide ribosomal RNA is filed under the name uncultured bacterium. Its description in RNAcentral is "partial 16S ribosomal RNA". It matches the Rfam family "Bacterial small subunit ribosomal RNA", at positions 338 to 795 of the family's 1533-position model. The record is from RNAcentral.